AGAGUUUGAUCCUGGCUCAGGAUGAACGCUAGCGGCAGGCUUAACACAUGCAAGUCGAGGGGCAGCAUAAUGGAUAGCAAUAUCUAUGGUGGCGACCGGCGCACGGGUGCGUAACGCGUAUGCAACCUACCUUUAACAGGGGGAUAACACUGAGAAAUUGGUACUAAUACCCCAUAAUAUCAUAGAAGGCAUCUUUUAUGGUUGAAAAUUCCGAUGGUUAGAGAUGGGCAUGCGUUGUAUUAGCUAGUUGGUGGGGUAACGGCUCACCAAGGCGACGAUACAGUAGGGGACUGAGAGGUUAACCCCCCACACUGGUACUGAGACACGGACCAGACUCCUACGGGAGGCAGCA
RNAcentral lists this ribosomal RNA (352 nucleotides) under uncultured bacterium. Its description in RNAcentral is "bacterial SSU rRNA". It matches the Rfam family "Bacterial small subunit ribosomal RNA", at positions 8 to 353 of the family's 1533-position model. The record is from RNAcentral.